UUAGUUGAUCUUAUUAGUAGUCAUAUGCUUGUCUCAAAGAUUAAGCCAUGAAUGUAUAAAUAUAAAUUGUUUUAUAUUGUGAAAUUGUGAAUGGCUUAUUAAAUAAAUAAUAGUUUAUUUGAUAGUACCUUACUACUCAGAUAACUAUAGUAAUUCUAUAACUAAUAUGUGUAAAGAGUCCUGACCUUCAAAAGGGAUGCACUUACUAGAUUCAAGACUAAUGCAUACUCAUUUAUAUUCUCAGUGGUUCAUGAUAACUUGUCAAAUCAUAUGGUCCUCGUGUCAGUGAUACUUAAAUUAAAUUUCUACCCUAUCAACUUUUGAUGGUAGGAUAUAAUAGGGAAUUAGGGUUUGAUUUUGAGAUACAGCUACCACAUAUAGGGAAGGUAGCAUGGAGGAAACGCGUGACAGACUACGAGAGUGGAUCGGAAGAAGCCAAAGAGAUAACGCAGAGAGUGAAUGCU
RNAcentral lists this non-coding RNA (464 nucleotides) under Selaginella moellendorffii. RNAcentral describes it as "Eukaryotic small subunit ribosomal RNA". It matches the Rfam family "Eukaryotic small subunit ribosomal RNA", at positions 4 to 497 of the family's 1831-position model. Lineage: Eukaryota; Viridiplantae; Streptophyta; Lycopodiopsida; Selaginellales; Selaginellaceae. The record is from Rfam by way of RNAcentral.